This 76-nucleotide transfer RNA is filed under the name Limisphaerales bacterium. RNAcentral's name for it is "Verrucomicrobia subdivision 3 bacterium (hot springs metagenome) tRNA-Ala". It matches the Rfam family "tRNA". Rfam says of the family: Transfer RNA (tRNA) molecules are approximately 80 nucleotides in length. The record is from RNAcentral. RNAcentral also lists the same sequence under 1 other name. Lineage: Bacteria; Pseudomonadati; Verrucomicrobiota; Verrucomicrobiia; Limisphaerales.
GGGGUCGUAGCUCAGUUGGUAGAGCACCACAAUGGCAUUGUGGGGGUCAGGGGUUCAAAUCCCCUCGGCUCCACCA